This 955-nucleotide ribosomal RNA is filed under the name Eleusine floccifolia. RNAcentral's name for it is "bacterial LSU rRNA". It matches the Rfam family "Bacterial large subunit ribosomal RNA", at positions 1912 to 2863 of the family's 2925-position model. Lineage: Eukaryota; Viridiplantae; Streptophyta; Magnoliopsida; Poales; Poaceae. The record is from RNAcentral.
UUUAAGCCCCAGUAAACGGCGGUGGUAACUAUAACCAUCCUAAGGUAGCGAAAUUCCUUGUCGGGUAAGUUCCGACCUGCACGAAUGGCGUAACGAUGGCCACACUGUCUCCUCCUGAGACUCAGCGAAGUUGAAAUGUUUGUGAUGAUGCAAUCUCCCCGCGGAAAGACGGAAAGACCCCAUGAACCUUUACUGUAGCUUUGUAUUGGACUUUGAACAGAUCUGUGUAGGAUAGGUGGGAGGCUUUGAAGCAGGGUCGCUAGAUCUUGUGGAGCCAACGUUGAAAUACCACCCUGGUGUGUUUGAGGUUCUAACCUAGGUCCAUUAUCUGGAUCGGGGACAGUGCAUGGUAGGCAGUUUGACUGGGCGGUCUCCUCCCAAAGCGUAACGGAGGAGUUCGAAGGUACGCUAGUUACGGUCGGACUUCGUGACGAUAGUGCAAUGGCAUAAGCGUGCUUAACUGCGAGACUGACAAGUCGAGCAGAUGCGAAAGCAGGACAUAGUGAUCCGGUGGUUCUGUAUGGAAGGGCCAUCGCUCAACGGAUAAAAGGUACGCCGGGGAUAACAGGCUGAUGACCCCCAAGAGUCCAUAUCGACGGGGUUGUUUGGCACCUCGAUGUCGACUCAUCGCAUCCUGGGGCUGGAGCAGGUCCCAAGGGUAUGGCUGUUCGCCAUUUAAAGAGGUACGUGAGCUGGGUUUAAAACGUCGUGAGACAGUUUGGUCCCUAUCUUCCGUGGGCGCUGCAGAUUUGAGGAAGCCUGCUCCUAGUACGAGAGGACCGGAGUGGACACACCUCUGGUGUAUCGGUUGUCACGCCAGUGGCAUUGCCGAGUAGCUAAGUGUGGAAGAGAUAACCGCUGAAAGCAUCUAAGCGGGAAACUCGUUUCAAGAUGAGAUCUGCCGGGGCCUUGAGCCCCCUGAAGAGUCGUUCAAGACCAGGACGUUGAUAGGCAG